UACGGGGGGGGUAAGCGUUGUUCGGAAUUACUGGGCGUAAAGGGCUCGUAGGCGGCCAACUAAGUCAUACGUGAAAUCCCUCAGCUUAACUGGGGAACUGCGUGUGAUACUGGAUGGCUUGGAUUUGGGAGAGGGAUGCGGAAUUCCAGGUGUAGCGGUGAAAUGCGUAGAUAUCGGGAGGAACACCGGUGGCGAAGGCGGCGAUCUGGGUAGAUACUGACGCUGAGGUGCGAAAGCGUGGGGAGCAAACAGG
RNAcentral lists this ribosomal RNA (253 nucleotides) under uncultured bacterium. RNAcentral's name for it is "partial 16S ribosomal RNA". It matches the Rfam family "Bacterial small subunit ribosomal RNA", at positions 524 to 776 of the family's 1533-position model. The record is from RNAcentral.